RNAcentral lists this ribosomal RNA (253 nucleotides) under uncultured bacterium. RNAcentral's name for it is "partial 16S ribosomal RNA". It matches the Rfam family "Bacterial small subunit ribosomal RNA", at positions 524 to 776 of the family's 1533-position model. The record is from RNAcentral.
UACGGGGGGGGCAAGCGUUGUUCGGAAUUACUGGGCGUAAAGGGCUCGUAGGCGGCCAACUAAGUCAGAUGUGAAAUCCCCAGGCUCAACCUGGGAACUGCGUCUGAUACUGGAUGGCUUGAAUUCGGGAGAGGGAUGCAGAAUUCCAGGUGUAGCGGUGAAAUGCGUAGAUAUCUGGAGGAACACCGGUGGCGAAGGCGGCAUCCUGGACCGGUAUUGACGCUGAGGCGCGAAAGCUAGGGGAGCAAACGGG